RNAcentral lists this long non-coding RNA (214 nucleotides) under Elaeis guineensis (African oil palm). Its description in RNAcentral is "long non-coding RNA (EGUI_LNC079493)". Lineage: Eukaryota; Viridiplantae; Streptophyta; Magnoliopsida; Arecales; Arecaceae. The record is from RNAcentral.
UGGUCCACGAUAGAAAAAGAAGGAGGGGAUGCCCAAGAGUUGGGCACCCCUUGUCUUGCCAUAUUUGGAUAAUCCUUGACUAGGUAUUUGACCUAGACAAGGACUCUAUCAUAUCUUUCUAUUUAAAAUGAAUUUUAUAUAAAAUUUUUUGAAAAAUAGAAAAAGGAGAGACCUUUGAGGUGUACAAAAAUCAGGGAGAAAGAAGGUUAGGGCG